UAAUUAGCGGUAAAUACGCUAUAUUUCUAUACAAGAAGAAUAUAGAUAAAAAUUAACAAAUAUUGGAAAAUAUUAGGAUAUUAUCAAUAUCCUUUUCCCUUUUCUAUAUAUUCUGUUUUUUUUUCUGUUUCUUUUUUGCAUAGAAAUGUAUUUACUUUUUAAAAAGCUUCUUAGAGGGACAUUGUGUGUCUAACACAAGGAAGUUUAAGGCAACAACAGGUCUGUGAUGUCCUUAGAUGAACUAGGCUGCACGCGUGCUACACUGAUAUAUAUAACGAGUUACUAAAAAUAUACAAAUAUACAUACAUUUUAUGUGUGUAUAUUUUGUAUACUUUUCCUCCACUGAAAAGUGAAGGUAAUCUUUAUCAAUA
RNAcentral lists this ribosomal RNA (371 nucleotides) under Plasmodium elongatum. RNAcentral describes it as "partial 18S ribosomal RNA". It matches the Rfam family "Eukaryotic small subunit ribosomal RNA", at positions 1352 to 1562 of the family's 1831-position model. Lineage: Eukaryota; Apicomplexa; Aconoidasida; Haemosporida; Plasmodiidae. The record is from RNAcentral.